This is a long non-coding RNA of Nicotiana tabacum (common tobacco), 4455 nucleotides long. RefSeq lists it as uncharacterized. Lineage: Eukaryota; Viridiplantae; Streptophyta; Magnoliopsida; Solanales; Solanaceae. The record is from RefSeq and is a predicted model, not a curated record.
AAAGACCCAUGUCUGCCAUCUUCAACCUAGAGACAACAACGAAACCCUAGUCCCCAUAACCACUAGCAAUGCCGCCCACCACAUCCAAGCCAUACCAAACCUUCAGCUUCAUCUUCCUCACACAUUACACAAAAAACACAAACCCUAGAUGAACCUUUCUUUUUUAAGAAGACAAGAGCUGAACUCAAAUCGUCACUCCUCACAAACCCAUGGAUGCCUUCCUCGUCUUCCUGAGCUGAACGACCAGACGAUCCCACCCUGACCUCUCUUUGCGACCAGCUGCUCACAGUCGCCGACCACCACCAGCCCUUCAGCCGCCCAGCUCCACCCUAGUUCUGCCGCGACCAGACUCUCACCAAAAAUGACCCCUGAUCUUCAACAACAAUAGACACCGAACCACACAGCUUCACCUUCUUCAGAAACACACACACACAACCAUAGACGAAUAAGAUCGAAGGGGACAGAAAAUCGACGGGAAACAAUAUAAAAAAAAUUCCAGUUUUCUGCUUUUCAAAUCCGAAAAAUACACCCCAGUCUCUGAUUUUUUAUCUUCUCAUGGAGUGGACUUGAAUUCGAGAUCGGAGUUCCGUCGAGGUUGAUGCCGAGUCUAGUUUCCAUCCACGUUUCGUUGAGCUUAAAACAGUGAUACAAUUGCCUUUCAGCUAUAUUGGAGGUCUAUUCUUCCCUUUCCUCAUUGUUCUUUUACUGGAUAUCAUGAUAUUGCUAAUCCUAUUAAUUUGUUGUUAUCGUGUGUUUGUUGAUUGAGAUGAAUUGGUCUGGUUUUUGUUUUCAUUAAAUUGGAGAUUGAAUUAUUUGGCUUUGAAACUAAGUUUAGUUAUGCUUUAUUUGUGUGAAUCGAUAGGAGCAUGCUCAGGCCGACCACACUUGGGUAGGCAAGUCUUAGGAUUUUAUUAGUUUUGAUGCGAGAGGUUGUUCCCCUAGUUAAAUUUAUCCGGAGAAUACCCCGAAGGAUUUGUAUGUAUUUUAUUCCGGGGAAUACCCCGUAGUAUUCUGUAUUUGGAGGCCGAUAGUAGAGUUAGUAGUAUCUUUGUUUUUUUAUUUUUGUUUUUCUUUUAUUAGGUGGUGACGACCUCAAACCUCGUGUGUUAAAUUUUGCUUUUUCUGUAUUUUUCACCUCAACUUGAACAUUUUAAAAGCCGAUUAGAUCAAGUAUGCAACCGUACUAGUUACGGGACUUGGGGAGUGCCUAACACCUUCUUCUCGAGUCAAAUGAAACCCCUUACCAAAUCUCUGGUGUAGACUUAGUUUUGGAGUCUCAAGUGUUUUGAAAGGAAAAUUAUUUUUCGAAAAAACGGUGACCUGACACACCAAAAUCAAAUGUUAGGUGGCGACUCUGAGUUAUUUUCUUUUGAAUAUAAUUUUGUCACGUUCUAAUUGGAAAACCCUUUUUCAAGCCCUACAAAAUCUUUUUAUUUAUUAAGAAGGUUAAGUGAGGUUUGGUAAAAAAAAGAGGUGUGACACUUAUGUGCUUUUCUUGUUAUACUAAUAGCGGCAGAUCUAUUAGUAAACAGGAGCCGCUAUCGCUCACCCGACUGAAAUCUGACGGAUAGAUAGCUAUUCUAUAAAAAAUCAAGACAAAAAGAAAGCAAGAAAAGGAUAGCAAUUGCUUUGGGAACGUUACAGGGGAGGAAGAUAGAACGGUAACCUAUGACACCGAGGUGAGAAGAGUUGAGAACAAAGUGGCGAUUGGGUGCGUAACGCAUGGGAAUCUGUCCGCCCGGUGCACAAAGCAUCUCGCAUUUACGUAAGAUUUAUAAAAAUGCCGCAUUUCAAGAGAUGUAAUGAAUAUUAGUGACUAUUUUUACGGCUCGAACCCGUAACUUAUAGUUCACACGAAAAUAAUUUUACAUUGCUCGAAAGCUCUAAAGAUAUAUACAUUGUUACUAUAAAAAUUCUUCUUCUUUCUUUUUCUUCGGCAUGCAAAGAGUUUUGAUAUGCACUAUGCUAAAUAAGUUUGUUAAAAUUAGUGGAACUCCUUAUAAAAUAAGUAAUUAUUUAUUAAGCCUUCCCUUAUGCGCUUGAUUUUUCUUUUGCUAAUUAAUACCUUCUUAAGGGUUAAUUCCUUUGAUUUAAUUUACAUGCAUCAAAUAAUUGUAGUUUUUUUGUCUUCCUUUCAAAUGUAACCUAACAAAAAAUGUUGGACUUUAGACUUGCAUUAAUUGGUUAUAGCUGAAAGGAUAGUGAUAUAGCUUAAGUGGUAGAUAAAUAAAAGGCCUAAUAUUAAAUAUUAUGUGUGUGGAUAAGUGAAGAUCAAUAACAAUUUACGUGUGAUGGGUAGACACUCUUUAUAAAUAGAGAUCAAUCCCUCUUUCCCUAGCUAUUAGAAAACCCUAGCGUAUUCUGCCUCUUGAAUACAUGGUAACGGUAGACGUCCCAUCAAUCAAGUUCUCCGGACUAUGAGAGCAUGUAGCUAGUGGAUUGUGGAAGUUGGUCAGGUUUAAUUUCCGAUCACUAUCGUUAUUGUGUUGAUGAAGUUGAACGGUACGCUUCCUUACACUUUAACUCUAGAUUAUGUUUAUGCUUGUGUCUUAAUUUCUACUAUGGUUACUAUUUAAUAAUCUAACAAAAAACACAUGCUAAUGGUCUUCUACUAUUAUAAGAGGAAAAAGGUACAUUAAAGUUAUUUUUAUAUGAUCUAUUGUUUACGGGUUUAAAUCGUAAAAUUAGCUCCUAACACUUAGUUUAGGAUAAGCUACUUACAUUAUAUCUCAUGGGAUGCAAGCUGGUCUUGUACCUAAACGUGGAAUACUUCAUGCGUUGCCUCUUUAGUUAGGAAGAAAAUAUUGUCAAGCUAUAGGCUCGUCAUUUUCAGUAAACAUUUUCUUUUCCCCAUUUAUGAUAUUUGACUUGCUCUCGUCGAAAAUCUUUAAACAUUUCCUCUCCACCAUUGGUAGUUUACAUGCAUAUUCCCACCAAAAAUACGACUACAUGUGGUCACCCCACUCAAUGGCGGACACUAGUAUUACGAGAUGUGAAGGAAAGAGCAAAGAAUAGAUCCUACGCAUCCAAAGAGACCGGGCGUACGCAUAAUUUUUGGUAAACGAUGUUAAAAUUUAAAUGAAUAAAUAAAUCACUAUAAUAAAAAGCGAUGUUAUUUUUUAUAUUUAUACCCAAUAUUUUUGUUUUAUAUACUAUUUAUAUAUAUAUAUAUAAUAAAAAUUUCGACAAAACGGUGUCACGUGACACCGCUUGCCGCAUGAUGUAUCCGCUCCAGUAAAGAGAACCAAGAAGACAAAAAACAUAAUAUAAUUUGUAUCAUAAAUUGUUGAAGUAUAUUUGUGUGACUAUCUCAACUAAAAACAUAAAUUAUUCAAGAAAACAUACUUUUAUUUCUUUAGUUAUUUGGCUGAUAAACAUUUAGACUUUUAGCCGUGUAAUAAACAACUAAUUUUAAGUACCUAAAAAAUCUGACAGCUAAAUAUGAAAACAUGGAAAGUUGCAAAAGCAAGACGAAGUCACGUAUAUAUGAAUCUCUUAGUCCGUCAACGUCAAUAACUAUAAUUUCAUAAAAGACUGAUAAUGGUUUCUGAUAUCAGAUCCUCUUUUCCUUUUCUGUUUUAUGUUUAUACUUACCAAUUUUAGGCUAAUGUAGAGUCAGCUUAAUUUCCUUAUACGGAAUUGCAAACUGAGAAGUUCAGCUUUCAAUUGGUGCAUGAAAUUUCUCUGCAUUUCCCCUCUAUCGACUUUAAUGUAAAGUUUUUUGCUUAAAGAAAUAGGGAACAGAGUCAGAAAUUAUUAAGGAAGAGAAGAUAGAAGAUCCACUGUAAGUUCAGCUGUACGCGGGUGUAUUCGAUGUAUUCGUGCUAUUAUAUUCGUAAAUACAUUAGCAGAAAUCGCCUAAAAAUAGGGAAGUCCAGCUAUACGAGACUGUAUUCGCGCUAUUGUAAUUCACCUAAAUAACAGGGAAGUACAUCUGCUUAAUAACGGAAAGUGGAUCAAUUAGCGUGUAUCGCUCCUAAUUUAACUCAACAUAAUCAAUUUUACAUAAAUUUCGUUGACAUUGUACUGUAUUCGAGCCCAGUGCAUGGGGCUUGCCUUAUGCGCGGGGUUUACCCUUUUAUGUAGUUUGCAGGCUAUUAUACAAGAAUGAGGUUUAUCCUGUGCGCACCCGAAAGAUAGUGAUUGCGAAUUCCCUUAUUAACAAAUAAAAUAUAUUCGUAAGAAAAAGUAAGGUCUAGAAAGUUCAGUGGAUGGCAAUAGAAGAAUAUGCAGCUCAACUAAAGUGAACUCUCCAAAAAUAUUGUCAAAAUAUGUCUAGCUAAAAAAGACAAUGAAUACACUGGUUCUCUGCUGUUCUAACAACUACAGGACUUUCUGCUACCAAGUCUUAUUUGUACUAUAAUACAUGAUCAUAUGAUCAUUAAAAUACGUACUCUUUUAUGCAAUUAUGCAUAUGUUUGCAAUAAGGUUGUAAAAUAUUUUUCAAUUUUUUCA